GACGAACGCUGGCGGCGUGCUUAACACAUGCAAGUGGAGCGACGAACCAGUGCUUGCCCUGGGGCAGCGCCGCGAACGGGUGAGUAACACGUGGGUAACGUGCCCCGAUGACUGUGACAACCCGGGGAAACCCGGGCUAAUACCCGAUGUGCCCCCUCACAUCAGUUAGGUGUGUAUAGGAAGCUUCGGCCUCCGCUUCGGGUUCGGCCAGCGGCCCAUUGGCUUGUUGGUUAGGUAACGUCCCACCAAGUCUGCGAUGGGUAGCUUGUCUGAGAGGACGAUCAGCCACACUGGGACUGAGACACGGACCAGACGCCUAAGGGAGGAAGCAGUGGGGAAUCUGGCGCAAUGGGCGAAAGCGUGACGCAGCAACGCCGCGUGGGGGAAGACGGCCUUCGGGUUGUAAACCCCUUUCAGUUGGGACGAAGGUCGGGCGGUUAAGAGCCGUUGCGAGUGACGGUACCUUCACAAGAAGCACCGGCUAACUACGUG
RNAcentral lists this ribosomal RNA (492 nucleotides) under uncultured bacterium. Its description in RNAcentral is "partial 16S ribosomal RNA". It matches the Rfam family "Bacterial small subunit ribosomal RNA", at positions 28 to 507 of the family's 1533-position model. The record is from RNAcentral.